CGGGAAGAAACCCAGGUAUUUAUACUUGGCUGACGGUACCGUAAGAAUAAGCACCGGCUAACUCCGUGCCAGCAGCCGCGGUAAUACGGAGGGUGCAAGCGUUAUCCGGAUUUAUUGGGUUUAAAGGGUGCGCAGGCGGACUAGUAAGUCAGUGGUGAAAGCCCGGGGCUCAACCCCGGAACUGCCAUUGAUACUGCUUGUCUUGAGUAUAGUUGAGGUGGGCGGAAUGUGUCAUGUAGAGGUGAAAUUCAUAGAUAUGACACAGAACACCGAUUGCGAAGGCAGCUCGCUAAGCUAUUACUGACGCUCAGGCACGAAAGCGUGGGGAGCAAACAGGAUUAGAUACCCUGGUAGUCCACGCCCUAAACGAUGAUCACUCGAUGUUGGCAAUACAUCGUCAGCGUCCAAGCGAAAGCGUUAAGUGAUCCACCUGGGAAGUACGAUCGCAAGAUUGAAACUCAAAGGAAUUGACGGGGGCCCGCACAAGCGGAGGAGCAUGUGGUUUAAUUCGAUGAUACGCGAGGAACCUUACCUGGGCUUAAAUGCAGAACGACCGUCUGGGAAACCAGACUUUCUUCGGACGGACUGCAAGGUGCUGCAUGGUUGUCGUCAGCUCGUGCCGUGAGGUGUCGGGUUAAGUCCCAUAACGAGCGCAACCCCUAUUGUUAGUUGCCAGCGGGUAAUGCCGGGAACUCUAGCAAAACUGCCUACGCAAGUAGAGAGGAAGGUGGGGAUGACGUCAAAUCAUCACGGCCCUUACGUCCAGGGCUACACACGUGCUACAAUGGCCGGUACAAUGGGCAGCUACAUGGCAACAUGAUGCUAAUCCUCAAAACCGGUCUCAGUUCGGAUCGUGGUCUGCAACUCGACCACGUGAAGUCGGAUUCGCUAGUAAUCGCACAUCAGCCAUGGUGCGGUGAAUACGUUCCCGGGCCUUGUACACACCGCCCGUCAAGCCAUGGAAGCCGGGGGUACCUGAAGUCGAUAACCGCAAGGAGUCGCCUAGGGUAAAACUGGUAACUGGGGCU
This 1028-nucleotide ribosomal RNA is filed under the name uncultured bacterium. RNAcentral's name for it is "bacterial SSU rRNA". It matches the Rfam family "Bacterial small subunit ribosomal RNA", at positions 441 to 1482 of the family's 1533-position model. The record is from RNAcentral.